UUAUGCCGCAUGGCAUAAGAGUGAAAGGCGCUUUCGGGUGUCGCUGAUGGAUGGACCCGCGGUGCAUUAGCUAGUUGGUGAGGUAACGGCUCACCAAGGCCACGAUGCAUAGCCGACCUGAGAGGGUGAUCGGCCACACUGGGACUGAGACACGGCCCAGACUCCUACGGGAGGCAGCAGUAGGGAAUCUUCGGCAAUGGACGAAAGUCUGACCGAGCAACGCCGCGUGAGUGAAGAAGGUUUUCGGAUCGUAAAACUCUGUUGUUAGAGAAGAACAAGGACGUUAGUAACUGAACGUCCCCUGACGGUAUCUAACCAGAAAGCCACGGCUAACUACGUGCCAGCAGCCGCGGUAAUACGUAGGUGGCAAGCGUUGUCCGGAUUUAUUGGGCGUAAAGCGAGCGCAGGCGGUUUCUUAAGUCUGAUGUGAAAGCCCCC
RNAcentral lists this ribosomal RNA (438 nucleotides) under Enterococcus faecalis. RNAcentral's name for it is "bacterial SSU rRNA". It matches the Rfam family "Bacterial small subunit ribosomal RNA", at positions 181 to 605 of the family's 1533-position model. Lineage: Bacteria; Bacillati; Bacillota; Bacilli; Lactobacillales; Enterococcaceae. The record is from RNAcentral.